UAGGUUCCUUUUAGACCAAUCAGUAUCAGGAAAGGUGCAUAUCUGGAUCGAGCGAUAAACUCCUCGGUCAAAAACCACUCGAACAUCCAUUAAACAUGUUCUUCAUUUAGAUUAUCAAAGAGCUCAACCCACUCUUUGGCAUUCUCUAGCUGAUCGAACAUGUUGGGGAUGUUCGUUUUGGAGUGGUGGAAAGCGAUGUGGUCAUCUCAGUCCCUCCACUGAAUUGCUUGUUAGUAUUAUCCCUUUUGGAGAUGUUCCAUAAGCCAAAUCUGAAGUAGUAGAUUGUAGCCUUCGAAGUGUUUUUCUCCUUGUUGACACUUCUCUAAGGCUCGGUAUAUGUCUGCGAUGAUUAUGGGCACAAUGCUAAAUAUCUGCCAACCAAUCCCUUCCAUUAGGGUCUUCGUUACCAUAGCCAUCCUAGUGUGGAUUCUCAUUUUCUUCAUUGGAAACACGAUCAGACUCGGGAAACAAAACAUGAAUACGAACACCUUACGAUGAAUAUGUCCCAAGGACAUAAGGGCAAACUCGUCAGGGUUGGUACGGUAAGGUUUGUUGUGACCAUGCCUUUCAUACAGGUAGUCAAAAGGGAUGUAUGAUUCCUUUAGGCAUGUCAAUUUUCCAUUCUUCUUUAAACUAUCACUUUAAGGAAACCCUUGCAUGUGUGGUUCUCAGGCAUUAGC
Molecule: long non-coding RNA, 680 nt
Filed under: Nicotiana benthamiana
Lineage: Eukaryota; Viridiplantae; Streptophyta; Magnoliopsida; Solanales; Solanaceae
Description: long non-coding RNA (NBEN_LNC034799)
Source: RNAcentral